This 509-nucleotide ribosomal RNA is filed under the name uncultured bacterium. Its description in RNAcentral is "bacterial SSU rRNA". It matches the Rfam family "Bacterial small subunit ribosomal RNA", at positions 28 to 526 of the family's 1533-position model. The record is from RNAcentral.
GAUGAACGCUAGCUACAGGCUUAACACAUGCAAGUCGAGGGGCAGCAUGAAGUUUGCUUGCAAACUUUGAUGGCGACCGGCGCACGGGUGAGUAACGCGUAUCCAACCUUCCCUAUAGUAGAGGAUAGCCCGGCGAAAGUCGGACUAAUACUCUAUGUUUUCCAAUGCAGACAUCUAAAAUGGAACAAAGGUUUACCGCUAUAGGAUGGGGAUGCGUCUGAUUAGGUUGUUGGCGGGGUAACGGCCCACCAAGCCCACGAUCAGUAGGGGUUCUGAGAGGAAGGUCCCCCACAUUGGAACUGAGACACGGUCCAAACUCCUACGGGAGGCAGCAGUGAGGAAUAUUGGUCAAUGGACGAGAAUCUGAACCAGCCAAGUAGCGUGCAGGAUGACGGCCCUAUGGGUUGUAAACUGCUUUUAUACGGGGAUAAAGUGUACCACGUGUGGUGUUUUGUAGGUACCGUAUGAAUAAGGACCGGCUAAUUCCGUGCCAGCCGCCGCAGUAACAC